UACGUAGGGUGCGAGCGUUGUCCGGAUUCACUGGGUGUAAAGGGAGCGCAGGCGGGUUGGCAAGUCAUUGGUGAAAUUCUCAGGCUCAACUUGGGGACUGCCAAUGAUACUGCUGAUCUUGAGUACGGGAGAGGAAGACGGAAUUCCUGGUGUAGCGGUGAAAUGCGUAGAUAUCAGGAAGAACACCGGUGGCGAAGGCGGUCUUCUGGCCCGUUACUGACGCUCAUGCUCGAAAGCGUGGGGAGCAAACAGG
Molecule: ribosomal RNA, 253 nt
Filed under: uncultured bacterium
Lineage: Bacteria
Also listed under: 1 other name
Description: partial 16S ribosomal RNA
Rfam family: Bacterial small subunit ribosomal RNA
Source: RNAcentral